UACGUAGGGUGCAAGCGUUGUCCGGAAUUAUUGGGCGUAAAGAGCUCGUAGGCGGUCUGUUGCGUCGGCUGUGAAAACCCGGGGCUCAACUCCGGGCCUGCAGCCGAUACGGGCAGACUAGAGUUCGGCAGGGGGAGACUGGAAUUCCUGGUGUAGCGGUGAAAUGCGCAGAUAGUCAGGAGGAACACCGGUGGCGAAGGCGGGCCUCUGGG
Molecule: ribosomal RNA, 212 nt
Filed under: uncultured bacterium
Lineage: Bacteria
Description: partial 16S ribosomal RNA
Rfam family: Bacterial small subunit ribosomal RNA
Source: RNAcentral